This 406-nucleotide ribosomal RNA is filed under the name uncultured bacterium. RNAcentral describes it as "partial 16S ribosomal RNA". It matches the Rfam family "Bacterial small subunit ribosomal RNA", at positions 30 to 526 of the family's 1533-position model. The record is from RNAcentral.
AUUGAACGCUGGCGGCAGGCUUAACACAUGCAAGUCGAACGAGUGGCGGACGGGUGAGUAAUGCUUGGGAAUCUGCCUUAUGGAGGGGGAUAACUACGGGAAACGGUAGCUAAUACCGCGUACCAUCGGAUGAGCCCGAGUGGGAUUAGGUAGUUGGUGAGGUAAAGGCUCACCUAGGCGACGAUCCCUAGCUGGUCUGAGAGGAUGACCUGCCCAACUGGAACUGAGACCCGGUCCAGACUUCUCCGUGAGGCAGCAGUGGGGUAGAUUGCACAAUGGGAGCAAGCGUGAUGCAGCCACGCCGCGUGUAUGAAGAAGGCUGUCGGGUUGUAAAGUACGUGCGGCGGGGAGGCGUUACCGGCCGAAUAAGCACCGGCGAACUCCGUGCCAGCAGCCGCGGUAAUAC